CACGUAGUUAGCCGUGGCUUCCUCCUCAGGUACCGUCAUUAUCGUCCCUGAAGACAGAGCUUUACAACCCGAAGACCGUCAUCACUCACGCGGCGUUGCUGCAUCAGGGUUUCCCCCAUUGUGCAAUAUUCCCCACUGCUGCCUCCCGUAGGAGUCUGGGCCGUGUCUCAGUCCCAAUGUGGCCGAUCACCCUCUCAGGUCGGCUACGCAUCGUCGCCUUGGUGAGCCGUUACCUCACCAACUAGCUAAUGCGCCGCGGGCCCAUCUCAUAGCGGAUUACUCCUUUAAUUGCUACUUCAUGCGAAGCUACAAUCUUAUGCGGUAUUAAUCUCCCUUUCGGAAGGCUAUUCCCCUCUAUGAGGCAGGUUGCCCACGUGUUACUCACCCGUCCGCCGCUAGCUUUGUUCCGAAAAACUCCACUCGCUCGACUUGCAUGUGUUAGCACGCCGCCAGCGUUCGUCCUGUACGCCGAGACGUCAAACCUACGUCCUGACGACGUACG
RNAcentral lists this ribosomal RNA (502 nucleotides) under uncultured Clostridium sp. RNAcentral describes it as "partial 16S ribosomal RNA". Lineage: Bacteria; Bacillati; Bacillota; Clostridia; Eubacteriales; Clostridiaceae. The record is from RNAcentral.